RNAcentral lists this ribosomal RNA (253 nucleotides) under uncultured bacterium. RNAcentral's name for it is "partial 16S ribosomal RNA". It matches the Rfam family "Bacterial small subunit ribosomal RNA", at positions 524 to 776 of the family's 1533-position model. The record is from RNAcentral.
UACGUAUGUUCCAAGCGUUAAUCGGAAUUACUGGGCGUAAAGCGCGCGUAGGCGGCUGAUUAAGUCGGAUGUGAAAUCCCCGGGCUCAACCUGGGAACUGCAUACGAUACUGGUCGGCUAGAGUAUGAGAGAGGGAGGUAGAAUUCCACGUGUAGCGGUGAAAUGCGUAGAUAUGUGGAGGAAUACCGGUGGCGAAGGCGGCCUCCUGGCUUAAUACUGACGCUGAGGUGCGAAAGCGUGGGGAGCAAACAGG